Molecule: transfer RNA, 64 nt
Filed under: Afissula sp. XL-2019
Lineage: Eukaryota; Metazoa; Arthropoda; Insecta; Coleoptera; Coccinellidae
Description: tRNA-His
Source: RNAcentral
AUUUAAGUAGUUUAAUUUUAAAAUAUUGAUUUGUGGGAUCAAAGUUAUUGCUAAAUCUUAAAUU